UGGGGGCUACUGCCUAUUGGAGCAGGGAGAGACCCGAGCCCUCAGCAGAGGCGCAGGCUCCUGGAGACACUAGCACUGCUGCAGAGGUGGGAGGCCCCACUGCAGGGUGAGCAGCCCAUGAGAAGGGCAGGUGGAUGCUGAGGGCAGAGGGAGCCCUGAGCACACGCCCCGCCCACCACGGGUGCUCAGAGAUCACUGGGAAGACCCAAGAAGGAAGUGAGGUUCUAUGUCCUCUGGUGGGUGGAGGGCUGUUGCCUGACGUUAAUGUGGCCCCUUUAUUUCUUGCUGGUGGGGAAGUCUAGGGCAUCCUGGUUGCCAGGAGAAUAACCUGCCCUGCCCGGAGCAGCAGGUUCCGAGGGGCGGGGUGUGCUGAGGAUGCCAGCAGGUGCUUCUAGAAGAAGGACUCUGCUGUGAAAUUUGCAUGGGUAACUGCAUUUGUGUUUUGUUUUUGCUUUUGUUUUUUCUCUGUAACGACCUCAAAAUCUCAGGGGCUGAUAGCAGCAAACAUUUAUUUCUCAUUCAUGAGUCUGUGGGCUGCUUGGGGCAGGGGUUCUGUUUCAGGUCUUGGGUGAGCUCCAGGGCUGCUCCUCGGGCUGCUCCUGGAGCCAGGGGACCCCUGUUCUUCUCAGGGACCAUGGCUGAAAUGCAAGGAGGGUGAGCUCAUGACCAAGUUAUGCCUUUUAAGGCCUCAGUUCAGGACUAGCAAUUGUCACUUCCGCUAUGUUUCAUUGGCCAAUGUGAGUUCAUGGCCACAUCCAGCAUCAGAGGGACUGGGAACUGUGCUUUGCCCGAGCCAGGGUCACGCAGCAGAAGGAGGGAGGGAGGUAUCGGGAGCAAUCCCAGCUGCCGCCUCAAUGCUACAGACUCAGGUGCCUCGUGCAGAACCAAGGAGCACCCAGGCCUCCCGUGUCUCCCGUGGGGUCCCCAGGUCCUCCUGACACUUUGCCCUCAGUAUUAGGUAAACUGGCUUGAGCCCCAGGCCGGCCACUGUGGGAUGUUGGAUCUCCCAGGGCUCAGGGCCCUGUGAUCCUGCGCCCUCUGGUUUCCUGAUUCUGCUCAAUGGGGCCCCUCUCCUCCCUGCACUGUUCCCCCUCCACCCCACCCCACACUGAGCUCAGGGCCCAGGCGGGAGUUCUCCAAACCCUCCCUCCCGCCUGGCGAAACAACAGGCCAUCGAUUUUGGGUUUCUAUUUCCGAUACGACAAAACACUGUGGAAGAUGUAUGAUUGCUAUUCUUACAGUGGUUGUUUUGCCUCAAACGUGAUGAAAUUCUUUCCCCCACCUGUCUGGGUGAUCCAAAGAGAGCGCUGCAAAGAUUCAUCUCCCGCCUGCCCUCCUGCUGGAGGUGCCCCGGGGGCAGCGUGCAGUGUUUUUUUCCAUCCUGCUGCACGGAUUAGCACAUGAAAGGUGCACUUGGCCCAGGAAGUGAUCUUUCCUGGAACAUCUAUUACCUAUCCUCUGACAGGGGCUGGUGUGCGAAAAGCCCUUCAGGAUUCAGGGUGCUUGGGAGGAUUAAAUAAAGGAAAUUGUACCAGGGCCCCUGUGCACUGAUAAGAAGUGAGUUGGUGUUCGUUCUCCUUUCUUUAGAGGACACCCCACCUUAGAUGACCCUGUAAUGACUGUCCAGGCCAGGACAUUUCAGAGAGCAAGGGGACACAGCUAUGAAUCAUGUCCAGACAACAGGCAUAAAGUGGGACUGUCCCAGGCCAGGUGGGACUUGUGUCUGCUCUAACCCACCAUCCCACCCUGGACUUUAUCAUGGACUCUGUUUCCUCCAGUGUCUCCCUCCCACCUCCAGGAGGAUGGGGCAGGGACAGGUAGGAAGGCCCCAGGCCCACCUGCAGUGCACAAGGCUGCCUUUUGGCCCUGGAGGGUGAGGCCCCUGGGUGGGCAGGGGCAGUGGAAACCAGCCGGGACUCAGAUUCUGACAGACCAUCCAGCCUUACGCCUCUCCAGAACUAGAAAAGCCCCAGGGAGAGGUCUGUGCCCCAAGGUGCGCCAUCAGCAGAGCCUCCAGCCCUGCCCCCAUGCCCAGCCGCUGGCUCCUCCAUGCCUCUGCAGACAGGGGGCCUGAUUUCCUUGGAUGACCUGGGAUGAGGGUGGGCAGCCCUCAGUUAGACCUUGGUUGGAUCGUGGCUCUGCCCCUGUGUGACUUAGCACAGGUCACCCCACCUCCCGGAGCCUCAGUUCCCUCAUCUGCGGAAAAUUGAUAAGAGGCCAGAUGAGAAAUUCAGGCAAGGCUUUACUGGGACAUGGGCUGCAGCACGAGGGAGCAAAAACAAGUAACUGGUUCUCCCCUCCUUGGGGAGGGGUGCGAGCUGGGCCCUUAAAUGGGACGAGGGUCGGGGCAGGCCCCGGGGUGGGGCUGGAGAGGUGGCUUAGGCGGUCUGCCCACCCUCUCCGUGGUGCUGUGUGCCGGGAUCAUGGACAGUAAGUGCCCUGCUUUUGCUCCCAACACCUCAGAAGUGGUAGGCAGCUGGGCUUUUGGUCUUUUUGUAUCUUGUUGUUCAUAAUUUGCGCAUGCACACAGUUAUUUCUAGUCCCUUAUAGUUUCUUUGCAUUCUGUUGUUCCGUCCCGGUGCAAGCACAGCAGCCCAGGGUUCUAGGUCCCAGGUCCCAAGUCCUAGCCUGUCUCACUUGGAGGAGCUCACGUUUUCGCUGAGCAGCCCUAGAGAACGGGUGGCCAGAGCCCUGCUUCCUCGACCUGCUCCUCACUUACGGCUGUGUGAUCUUAGGCUGGGCAUGGCCCCCUCUGGAGAUCAGUUUACCCUCCUGACAAAUGGGGGUGACAACCUGCUGUAUUCGUUCCCAUGAGCUGCUGUAUCAAAGUGUCACAAACUGAGCGACUUAAAACAACUGAAACUUAUUGUCUCACAGUUCUGAAAGCUAGAGGUCCCAAAUCAAGGUGUCAGCAGAGCCGUGCUCCCUCCGAAGCCCCUGGGGAGGAGUCAUCCUUGCUCUUCCAGCUUCCAGAGCCCUGGGCCUUCCUUGGCUUGUAGACUCAUCACUCCGGUCUCUGCCUCCACCUUUACGUGGUGUCUCCCUGUGCAUCUCUGUGUCCUAAUUCUCCUCUUCUUGCAAGAACACGGGACCUGUUGGAUUACGGCUCAUCCUAAUGACCUCAUCUUAAUCUGAUUAUAUCUGCAAAGCCCCCAUUUCCAAUGUUUCUUCAUUAAGCAACUGAAAGAAAAGCCUUCAUCCAGGUGUAGCGUGAAGACAUUUUCUGACUUCCUCUGUCUUGCCUGGUUCAAGUUCACCAACACUUUCCUGGAAAGCCCCACCAUCCUUGCUCACACUCUUGUGUCUCCUGACUUUGCUUCUUUAGGACAAAAGCCUUUUUCACAUUUUCAGAGAAUUCUCCUCCAGUGAGCUUUCACAAAGGCAAAGUUUUUAAUUCCAAUGAGGUCAACCUAAUCAUUUUUUCUUUUUAUGAUUCGUAUGUUUGGUGUCAAGUCUAAGAACUUUUUGCUUAGCCUCAGGUUAUGAAGAUAUCCUCCUAUAUUUUCUUCUUAAAGUUUCAUGUUUUGCAUCUAUGUAUAUGAUCCUUUUUGAGUUCCGUAUAAGUGUGUCAAGGUUAAUUCUGUUGUUUAUGGAUGUGCAAUUGCUGCAGCUCUGUUGAGUAGGCUAGCCCUCCUCCAUUGAAUUGCUUUUGCAUUUUGUCAAAAACCAAUUGAGCGUAUUUGUGUGGGUUUAUUUCAGGGUUCUUUCUUUUGUUCCAUUCAUCUAUGUGUCUAUCCUUCUACCAAAACCUCAGAGUCUUGAUUAAUGUAGCUAUAUACUAUCCCUUAACAUCACAUACAGCGAUUCCUCCCAUUUUCUUCCCUGCCAAGACUAUUUUAGCUGUCCUAGAGUCUCUGUUUUUCCAUAUGAAUUUUAGAAUAAGCUUGUCUAUGUUUAUUAAAAAAAACUUGCUGGGGUUUUAAUAAUUGUGUUAAACCUGUGUAUCAGUUUGGUGAGAAUUGACAUAUUUACUAGGUUGGGCAUUCAAAUCCAUGAGCACAGUCUGUUUCUCCAUUUGUUUAUUUAGGUCUUUUACACUUACUUUCAUGUAUAAUUUACAAUUUUCAGCAUAUAGGUUCUGUACAUGUUUUGUUUAGUGUAUAGCUAAAUGUUUCAUUUUCUUUGAUACAAUUGUAAAUAGUACUGUGUUUUUAAUUUUGGUGUCUGUGUGUUUUGUUAACUUAUAGAAAUAUAAUUGGUUUUUGUGCAUUGAUUUUGUAUCCCAAAACCUGAACACACUUAGUUCUGGAAGAUAUUUUGCAGAUUCCUUGAAAUUUUCUACACAGAUAACCCAUUGUCUGCAAAAGGGAUCAUUUUAUAUCUUCUUUUCCAAAUGAUAUGCCUUUUAUUUCUUUUUCUUACCUUAUUGCAGUGGCUAUGAAUUCCAAUACUACAUUAAAUAAGAGAGAUAAGAGCAGAUAUCCUUGC
Molecule: non-coding RNA, 4428 nt
Organism: Vicugna pacos (alpaca)
Lineage: Eukaryota; Metazoa; Chordata; Mammalia; Artiodactyla; Camelidae
Source: RefSeq, a predicted model, not a curated record